RNAcentral lists this long non-coding RNA (300 nucleotides) under Musa acuminata (dwarf banana). RNAcentral describes it as "long non-coding RNA (MACU_LNC002269)". The record is from RNAcentral. Lineage: Eukaryota; Viridiplantae; Streptophyta; Magnoliopsida; Zingiberales; Musaceae.
UGAAAUAGCUUCAUGCAUUUGGUGAGCUCUGCUUUCUAAGGUUCAUACAUUUACUUCAGCACCAACUCCAGCGAAAGGGUUCAUACAUUUAAAUCCAUUUCCCUUUUAGAAGCUAUGCAUUCAGGCAGUAGCUUCAUCAGUACCUUCUCCAUGGUCCACAACAACAGAACAGGGCAAAAGAAGGCUGCAUGCAUCAAAGGUGACUCAGUCCCACCAUUCUUUGCUUACCCACAAAAAGCCUACUAUUAUAUCUUGAGCAUAUGAUUCAUUUCUUCAUGUGGAUUACUAGUAGUAUUGUUC